Molecule: ribosomal RNA, 253 nt
Filed under: uncultured bacterium
Lineage: Bacteria
Description: partial 16S ribosomal RNA
Rfam family: Bacterial small subunit ribosomal RNA
Source: RNAcentral
UACGAAGGGUGCAAGCGUUACUCGGAAUUACUGGGCGUAAAGCGUGCGUAGGUGGUUCGUUAAGUCUGAUGUGAAAGCCCUGGGCUCAACCUGGGAAUGGCAUUGGAUACUGGCGACCUAGAGUGCGGUAGAGGGUGGCGGAAUUCCCGGUGUAGCAGUGAAAUGCGUAGAUAUCGGGAGGAACAUCCGUGGCGAAGGCGGCCACCUGGACCAGCACUGACGCUCAUGCACGAAAGCGUGGGGAGCAAACAGG